GCCAGCACAGCACCGGGAGUGCCCGGGGGUGGCUCUGCUCUGGGCAGCUCCCACGGGCAGCACCCACUGCCCAUCACCUCCCCAAAUUCUGGGAAUAGCCCCCAGCUCCCAUUCCCCACCCAUGGGCUCCAUGGGGAGCUCUGCCAGGACUGCUGGCACUGGUCCUGCAGUCACACACCACUCCUGGGGCUCCUGGGAACCGGACAGGAACAAAACAGAGAGCAGAUUCAUUCCACACUAACAAAAAAACGGAGCCGAGAAACUCCAAAAAACCCCAACCCCCAACCUUGCAGAGCUGUUAAAAACCCACUAAAAGGUGUUUAAAGUGCUGUUCUGUUCUGCUCUCUGAUGAGGUGAGGCAGGGGCAGACACAUUUCUAAUAGAGGUGUGUAUUUCCAACAUCCACGUGCAGCAAGGCAAGGAGGCUCUGCACCUUUGGUUAGCUCGGUGAUGUUUGGUGUGCCCAGCAGAAAUGGACAAUUCUGUGCUGUGAAGGUGCACAGACAGAGACAAUUCUGUGCUCUGAAGGUGCACAAACUGAGACAAUUCUGUGCUGUGAAGGCACACAAACAGAUAUUUCUGUGCUAUGAGGGCACACAAACUGAGACAAUUCUGUGCUGUGAAGGUGCACAGACUGAGACAAUUCUGUGCUGUGAAGGUGCACAAACUGAGACAAUUCUGUGCUAUGAAGGCACACAAACUGAGACAUUUCUGUGCUGUGAGGGCACCCAGAGACAUUUCUGUGCUAUGAGGGCACACAAACACCCCUGCAGUGACCCCAGGCUGUGUAUUCUGCUGGGACCCCCUGUUGGUUGGGGCUCCCCUUACUGAUCAUGGUGGUGCCUCCUGCCAGCGCUGCCCGGGUGCCCUGGGCGAAGCCGUCGGCCGGGCUCACGCCCGGGGCGAGCCCCUGCAGCCGCGUGUGCGCGUCGAUGCCGCCCGGCAUCACCAGCUGCCCGUGGGCGUCGAUGCUCCUGGUGCCCCCCGGAACCAGCAGGUUCUCUCCGAUCUGCCUGCAAAGGAAACCAGCACUCCCCUGAGCGGGCAGCAGCUCUGAAGGGAGGGAGCCCAAGGAGCCC
Molecule: long non-coding RNA, 1079 nt
Filed under: Catharus ustulatus (Swainson's thrush)
Lineage: Eukaryota; Metazoa; Chordata; Aves; Passeriformes; Turdidae
Description: lncRNA (ENSCUSG00005007208.1)
Source: RNAcentral